CUACGUGCCAGCAGCCGCGGUAAUACGGAAGGUCCAGGCGUUAUCCGGAUUUAUUGGGUUUAAAGGGAGCGUAGGCUGGAGAUUAAGUGUGUUGUGAAAUGUAGACGCUCAACGUCUGAAUUGCAGCGCAUACUGGUUUCCUUGAGUACGCACAACGUUGGCGGAAUUCGUCGUGUAGCGGUGAAAUGCUUAGAUAUGACGAAGAACUCCGAUUGCGAAGGCAGCUGACGGGAGCGCAACUGACGCUUAAGCUCGAAGGUGCGGGUAUCAAACAGGAUUAGAUACCCUGGUAGUCCGCACGGUAAACGAUGGAUGCCCGCUGUUAGCGCCUGGCGUUAGCGGCUAAGCGAAAGCAUUAAGCAUCCCACCUGGGGAGUACGCCGGCAACGGUGAAACUCAAAGGAAUUGACGGGGGCCCGCACAAGCGGAGGAACAUGUGGUUUAAUUCGAUGAUACGCGAGGAACCUUACCCGGGCU
This 477-nucleotide ribosomal RNA is filed under the name uncultured bacterium. RNAcentral's name for it is "bacterial SSU rRNA". It matches the Rfam family "Bacterial small subunit ribosomal RNA", at positions 501 to 981 of the family's 1533-position model. The record is from RNAcentral.